GACGAACGCUGGCGGCGUGCCUAAUACAUGCAAGUUGAGCGCUGAAGGUUGGUACUUGUACCGACUGGAUGAGCAGCGAACGGGUGAGUAACGCGUGGGGAAUCUGCCUUUGAGCGGGGGACAACAUUUGGAAACGAAUGCUAAUACCGCAUAAAAACUUUAAACACAAGUUUUAAGUUUGAAGGAUGCAAUUGCAUCACUCAAAGAUGAUCCCGCGUUGUAUUAGCUAGUUGGUGAGGUAAAGGCUCACCAAGGCGAUGAUACAUAGCCGACCUGAGAGGGUGAUCGGCCACAUUGGGACUGAGACACGGCCCAAACUCCUACGGGAGGCGGCAGUAGGGAAUCUUCGGCAAUGGACGAAAGUCUGACCGAGCAACGCCGCGUGAGUGAAGAAGGUUUUCGGAUCGUAAAACUCUGUUGGUAGAGAAGAACGUUGGUGAGAGUGGAAAGCUCAUCAAGUGACGGUAACUACCCAGAAAGGGACGGCUAACUACGUG
RNAcentral lists this ribosomal RNA (497 nucleotides) under uncultured bacterium. RNAcentral describes it as "partial 16S ribosomal RNA". It matches the Rfam family "Bacterial small subunit ribosomal RNA", at positions 28 to 507 of the family's 1533-position model. The record is from RNAcentral.